UUCUCUCCCACCUCUCACUGCUUUUUUCUAGGGAGGAACUAAAGGUGCUGAACCAGAAGUAUCUUUAACAGCAUUCAUUCUGGUUGCAUUAUUGGAAUCCAGAUCAGUCUGCAAUGAACAUAUCAAUAUUCUAGACAGCAGCAUCAAUAAGGCCACAGAUUAUUUACUCAAAAAGUAUGAGAAA
Non-coding RNA from Notechis scutatus (mainland tiger snake), 184 nucleotides. The record is from RefSeq and is a predicted model, not a curated record. NCBI's taxonomy places the organism in Eukaryota, Metazoa, Chordata, Lepidosauria, Squamata, Elapidae.